Mercenaria mercenaria is the source of this 2636-nucleotide long non-coding RNA. RefSeq lists it as uncharacterized. Lineage: Eukaryota; Metazoa; Mollusca; Bivalvia; Venerida; Veneridae. The record is from RefSeq and is a predicted model, not a curated record. The transcript has 4 exons.
CCAAAAAAAGUUGGAAACUCAUAGUCACAGAUUUCCUUUAAACCGAUUUUUUCUUGAAGAGGGUGCAAAAUUAAGAAAAUCCUGUUUUUCAUUUUUUCAAUAUAUCUCCCGGUUACCAUGGAAACGAGGAUGAAAAUCCCCAACUUGCUGAAUUUUCAAAAAAGUAGGGGUGCAUACCUAUUUUGUUAUCUGGAAAGUACUAGAAAGUGUCCUUUAUUUUCGUACUUGCAAAUUUUAAAGGCAAAUGAACAAGGUUUCAUACCAAACUAAUAUUUCCAAAUAUUUAUUUGAUUCUUGUAUGAUCUAGACUUUUAUCUGCAAGAAAAAAUAUAUUUAUGGAGCAAAGCAUAUGUUUAUAUUGUGCUCUACAUCUUGAAAAGUGCACAGGUCUCAGCAGAAAAGUAUAUUUGUUUGUAUAAAGGGAAGAUGAUAUUUCAAAAAGAAACAUAAAUCGUAAUGGGUCAUUCAGACAUAUUCUUGUAGAUUUGGGGCCAAAUUUUAUGAUUUGUGGCAUUUUUCCUAUUUUUAUUACCUCCCCUUGAUGCUCUUCAUUUAGGAAAUCACAAAGAGCUUAUCUAAGUUUACUUCCUGGAAUAUGCUGAAUUCAGAUUUCUACUCGGAUUUUGCACAUUUUUAGUAUAUAGAUACAAUGACAGUCAGAGAUUUUAUGCUAAAUGGGCAUGUGAUGCUUGGAUGUGUCCCUUCAAACCAAGUCCACGCUUAAAAUUUGCUGAAUAGCGACAAUGUUUGGGAAAAUACUCUGGCAGAAAACGGAAAAGAGUCUAAACUGUGGAUACACAUCAGAGUCUGACAUCUGUCUGUUUAUUUCUAUAAGUGAAGUUUGUAUCAACUGACUGAAGGAUCAGCGGUAAAGGAUAACACUACAAUGAAAACAGCUGUGAGUUGUUUCAUUUGAAAAUGACUGCUUGAUGAUAAAGUUUCAAACAACAAUGAGGUGAGUGGAUGUUCUAGAGAGACUAAUUCUUCAAAGAAUGAAUGAUCAUCAUCAUCCUUAUAUUGGAAUAAAAGGAAGGAAGUGACAGCUACAGUCAUGGUAAAAGUAAAUGCAGUCAGAAGACCUCUGAUAUCACCCGAAGAGCCAGCCUUCUCAAGAUUCUGUAUCAAAUAAAAAUAAUAAGGACUGCUAAAAAGACUUUUUAUAACUUGCAAAUGUGCAGUCUGUGACAUAACUGUCUAAUCCAGGUAGUUUAGUGUUGACAAGAUGACAUUUCAUCUCUAUUAUAGUAGAGGACACAAGUUUGAAAUGUAGUAUGUCAUUGUGAAGGCAAAAUGUGUAUGAAAAUAGUGUGUGUGUUUUCCAAAUAGAGUUGUUUAUAUUGUUUGCAUUAAUGUUUCUUUUUCAGAUUUAUGGAAAAAAUUAGAAUGUCAUUUCUUAAAAUGUUGUUUAACCAAAGGCCCUGUAAUUGAAAAAUAUCUUUAUUCUUGACUUUAUAUUAAAAUUAAAAAAAUCUGAUACUGUUUGAUUACUUUUGCAUGUAUAACAUUAAAUUUGUUGUAUUUAAAUUUGAUGAAAUUUAAUGUUUUUUGAAAAAGAUGCACUUGAACAUAUCUAAAUGGAAUAAAUACAUGACAGUCUUUGAAUAUCUGUAAAAAAGCACACGUUUUGCAGUUCUCAUCCGAUUUGGUUACCAAUUUACAGCAUAAUUAUACAUGAAGGCUUAUUACUCAAACAUAUGCAGAUCUAACUGUAUAUUUUCUACCAUAGAUAAUUUUAUUUCAUAUAGAUUUUUUAAAUCUUUAAAAAUUACUGAGAAAAUAUAGCAAAAUAAUGGUUGAAUUAGUAUACUUGAUUUUGUGAGACUGUUGAAAUACUACAAUUCUUUUUCCCUCUUUUUACCUAUAUUGUGUUAGGUAAAAACUUAAGCCCAUAUAUACUUAUGGCCAAUGAUUAAAGAGAACAUCUGAGUUUCUAGCUGACUUUCUGACUAAUUUAAGAACUCAUUCAUGUAACAACAUCUAUUAAUCUUCAGAAAUCCAGUAAAAUUGUCAUCUGUAAAACAGGUUUCAUUCUAAGAUAUACAAGGCAUAUAACAUCCUAUUUUACCAGCAUGUAUUUACUUUAAUAAAUAAAGUAGAUUUAGUUGUGUAUUUUGAUAAAUUUUGGAAAAAGCAUUAGGAGAUAUGUCUGCAACUGCAGUUUGUAUUAACUGAGUACAGGCCCUGGAAUGUGCAUGAUCAGAGUUUUUGUGAAUAAACUUAGUAAAGUCUUAAGUCUACAUUAUCUAUAGCUAUCCGUAAAAAGUCUAGCCAUUGUCUUGGUAGUUUGUAAGAAUUAAAUACAUUUGAGCCACGCCAUGAGAAAACCAACAUAGUGGCUUUGCGACCAGCAUAGAUCCAGAGCAGCCCGCGCAGUCUGGUCAGGAUCCAUCCUGUUCCCUUUCAAAGCAUAUUGCAAUCAGAGAAACUGUUAGUGAACAGCAUGGAUCCAUGCUGGUCGCAAACGUUGGUUUUCUCAUGGCGCGGCUCAUUUAAAGUUUUGUCUAGCAAAAUAUUGACUAAACUUUUCUGUAGAUAAUUUGAUUUAAUUUGAUAGUUAAAGGAAGAAUGUGCAUCAUGAUUGUUAUUACAUGAACAUACUGUAUUAUUUUUAAAUAUCAUGAUAUUUUUCAGUCUUG